AACGAACGCUGGCGGCAUGCCUAACACAUGCAAGUCGAACGGAACCUUCGGGUCUAUUGGCGCACGUGGGGGGGACGCGGGGGGAGCUGCCCGUGAGUUCGGAAGAACUGCCCGAAGGGGGUCCUAAUACCGGAUAAUGUCUUCGCACCAAAGAUUUAUCGCCGUUGGAUGGGCGCGCGUUGGAUUAGCUAGUUGGUAGGGUAAAAGCGUACCAAGGAGACGUUGCUUAGCUGGUGUGAGAGGAUGAUCCGCCACACUGGAGCUACGACCCGGACCAGAAUCGUACGCAAGGGAGGAGAGGGGAAUACAGGACAAUGGGGGAAAGCAUGAUAAAGCAAUGUCGGGUGAGUGAUGAAGGCGUUAGGGUUGUACAGCUGUUUUACACGGGGUGAUAAUGACAGUACCGGGAGAAUAAGCUCCGGCUAACUACGUG
RNAcentral lists this ribosomal RNA (433 nucleotides) under uncultured bacterium. RNAcentral's name for it is "partial 16S ribosomal RNA". It matches the Rfam family "Bacterial small subunit ribosomal RNA", at positions 29 to 507 of the family's 1533-position model. The record is from RNAcentral.